This 452-nucleotide ribosomal RNA is filed under the name uncultured organism. RNAcentral's name for it is "partial 16S ribosomal RNA". It matches the Rfam family "Bacterial small subunit ribosomal RNA", at positions 332 to 800 of the family's 1533-position model. The record is from RNAcentral.
UACACUCCUGCGGGAGGCAGCAGUGGGGAAUAUUGGACAAUGGGCGCAAGCCUGAUCCAGCCAUGCCGCGUGAGUGAUGAAGGCCCUAGGGUUGUAAAGCUCUUUCACCGGUGAAGAUAAUGACGGUAACCGGAGAAGAAGCCCCGGCUAACUUCGUGCCAGCAGCCGCGGUAAUACGAAGGGGGCUAGCGUUGUUCGGAUUUACUGGGCGUAAAGCGCACGUAGGCGGACUAUUAAGUCAGGGGUGAAAUCCCGGGGCUCAACCCCGGAACUGCCUUUGAUACUGGUAGUCUUGAGUUCGAGAGAGGUGAGUGGAAUUCCGAGUGUAGAGGUGAAAUUCGUAGAUAUUCGGAGGAACACCAGUGGCGAAGGCGGCUCACUGGCUCGAUACUGACGCUGAGGUGCGAAAGCGUGGGGAGCAAACAGGAUUAGAAACCCCGGUAGUCCCAUGA